UCGUUUAGGCCGAUUACCAGGGUAUUUACCCUGUUUGCUCCCCACGCUUGUGUGCAUGAGCGUCAGUACAGGUCCAGGGGAGUUCUCUGCCACGCGUUCUCCGCAUCUACGCAUAUUACACGCGGAAUUCCAUCCCCUUUCACGGGUACUCUAGCUAUGCAGUCAUAAAUGCAGUUCCCAGGUUGGAGUCAGGAUUUCACAUCUGUCUAGCAUACCCAACGGCGCAUUUACGCCCAGUAAUUCCGACUAACGCUCGCACCCUACGUAAGGCCGCGGCUGCUGGCACGUAGUUAGCUGGUGCUUUAUUCUUACGGUACUGCCGCAGCCCCCUGUAUUAGAAGGUUUUUCGUCCUGCACAAAAGCAGUUUACACCCUGGGAAGCCCGCAGCGGCAUUAAGCGAUCAGGCUGCUCAUUGUCCAAAAUUUCACUGCCACACCGCCGUGUUCAGUCCCAGUGGCUGGUCGUCUCUUCAGACCAGCUACAGAUCGUCGGCUUGCAGCAUCCCACCAACUACCUACCUGUUGUCGGCCGCCCAUCGCGCGAGGCCCGAAUAUCGUAUGCGGUAUUAGCUACUCUUCGAGUAGCUAUCCCCCACGACAAGCACGUUCCGAUACAUUUCACCGUCUGCCACUCGUCAGCGCUUCCGAAGAGUUACUGUUCGGACGGUAUGCUGUAAGGCAUGUUAGCAGCUCAUCCGAGCUCGACCAAACCCUACGUAACUUGGUUUACCCAAGAUUCUGUAGUACAGAGGGUUCGACUAUGGCUCAGAUUGAACGCUGGCGGAUGCUUUACACAUGCAAGUCGAACGGCAGCAUCGACUUCGGUCUGGUGGCGAGUGGCGAACGGGUGAUAAUGUAUCGGAACGUGCCUAGUAGCGGGGAUAAUCACGCGAAAGCGUAGCUAAUACCGCAUACGCCCUUCGGGGGAAAGCGGGGACCUUCGGGCCUCGCACUAUUAGAGCGGCCGAUAUCGGAUUAGCUAGUUGGUGGGUGCAAUGGCUCACCAAGGCGAUUAAUCCGUAGCUGGUUUGAGGACGACCAGCCACACUGGGAUUCCCGAGACACGGCCCAGACUCCUACGGAGGCAGUAGCUCUUGUACAAUGGGGGAAACCCUGAUCCAGCCAUCCCGCGUGUGCGAUGAAGGCCUUCGGGUUGUAAAGCACUUUUGGCAGGAAGAAACGGCACGGGAUAAUACCCCGUGCAACUGACGGUACCUGCAGAUAAAGCACUGGCUAACUACGUGCCAGCAGCCGCGGUAAUACGUAGGGUGCAAGCGUUAAUCGGAAUUACUGGGCGUAAAGCGUGCGCAGGCGGUUCGGAAAGAAAGAUGAAAUCCCAGAGCUUAACUUUGGAACUGCAUUUUUAACUACCGAGCUAGAGGUGUCGAGGGAGGUGGAAUUCCGCGUGUAGCAGUGAAAUGCGUAGAUAUGUUAGAGGAACACCGAUGGCGAAGGCAGCCUCCCGGGGAUAACACCGACGCUCAUGCACGAAAGCGUGGGGAGCAAACAGAUUAGAUACCCGGUAGUCCACGCCCUAAACGAUGUCAACUAGCUGUUGGGGCCUUCGGGCCUUGUAGCGCAGCUAACGCGCGAAGUUGACCGCCUGGGGAGUACGGUCACAAGAUUAAAACUCAAAGGAAUUGACGGGACCCGCAAGCGGUGGAUGAUGUGGAUUAAUUCGAUGCAACGCGAAAACCUUACUCUACCCUUGACAUGUCCGGAAUCCCGAAGAGAUUUGGGAGUGCUCGUAAGAGAACCGAACACAGGUGCUGCAUGGCUGUCGUCAGCUCGUGUCGUGAUGUUAAAUAAACCGUAACGAGCGCAACCCUUGUCAUUAGUUGCCACGAAAGGGCACUCCAAUGAGACUGCCGGUGACAAACUGGAGGAAGGUGGGGAUGACGUCAAGUCCUCAUGGCCUCUGCGGGUAGGGAUCUGCCACGUCAUACAAUGGUCGGGACAGAGGGUCGCCAACCCGCGCAGGGGGAGCCAAUCCCAGAAACCCGAUCGUAGUCCGGAUCGCAGCCUGCAACUCGACUGCGUGAAGUCGGAAUCGCUAGUAAUCGCGGAUCAGCAUGUCGCGGUGAAUACGUUCCCGGGUCUUGUACACACCGCCCGUCACACCAUGGGGAGUGGGUUUUACCAGAAGUAGUUACCCAACUGCAAGGAGAGUGGCGAUUACCACGGUAGGAUUCAUGAUCAGGGUGAAGUCGUAAUAAGGUAG
This 2221-nucleotide unclassified non-coding RNA is filed under the name uncultured Bordetella sp. RNAcentral's name for it is "partial 16S-23S ribosomal RNA intergenic spacer". The stretch from base 743 to 2221 matches the Rfam family "Bacterial small subunit ribosomal RNA". The record is from RNAcentral. Lineage: Bacteria; Pseudomonadati; Pseudomonadota; Betaproteobacteria; Burkholderiales; Alcaligenaceae.